Molecule: ribosomal RNA, 253 nt
Filed under: uncultured bacterium
Lineage: Bacteria
Description: partial 16S ribosomal RNA
Rfam family: Bacterial small subunit ribosomal RNA
Source: RNAcentral
UACGUAUGUUCCGAGCGUUAUCCGGAUUUAUUGGGCGUAAAGCGAGCGCAGACGGUUGUUUAAGUCUGAUGUGAAAGCCCGCAGCUCAACUCAGGAAUGGCAUUGGAAACUGGAUGACUUGAGUGCAGUAGAGGAAAGUGGAACUCCAUGUGUAGCGGUGAAAUGCGUAGAUAUAUGGAAGAACACCAGUGGCGAAGGCGGCUUACUGGACUGUAACUGACGUUGAGGCUCGAAAGUGUGGGUAGCAAACAGG